RNAcentral lists this long non-coding RNA (362 nucleotides) under Capsella rubella. Its description in RNAcentral is "long non-coding RNA (CRUB_LNC002026)". The record is from RNAcentral. Lineage: Eukaryota; Viridiplantae; Streptophyta; Magnoliopsida; Brassicales; Brassicaceae.
UUAAGGUUGGAGAAGAAGGAUUUCAUCAGAUUCAGGUGGAUGUAUAUUUCUUCUAGAAGUGAAGAAGUUGUGAACACGAUCGUAUUUGGAUGUUGUGUCUCUUCUCAAUAGUAAAUUAAUUGAGCUAUUUGACCCAAUUUUUGGAAAUGUUCGUUAUCCGAAUACUUAUAUUUAUAUAUUUAUCAAUGUUACGAAAGGUCCAGUUUUGGAACUCUUUUGUUGCAUGAAUACUCUUAUCAACUCUAUAAUUAAAAAAAAAAAAAAAAAAAAGAGACAUUUCGUUGUUAUCGCCUUGUCGGUAACAUACUGUAUAAGCUUCAACUGGUAGAAUAAUGUUUGGUGGUCAUUAGCCAAGAUUCACC